Molecule: small RNA, 110 nt
Filed under: Virgibacillus pantothenticus
Lineage: Bacteria; Bacillati; Bacillota; Bacilli; Caryophanales; Bacillaceae
Description: Guanidine-I sequence
Rfam family: Guanidine-I riboswitch aptamer
About the family: This family represents a conserved RNA structure found upstream of the ykkC and yxkD genes in Bacillus subtilis and related genes in other bacteria. The function of this family is unclear although it has been suggested that it may function to switch on efflux pumps and detoxification systems in response to harmful environmental molecules.
Source: Rfam by way of RNAcentral
AUAAUCAUUUUCUAGGGUUCCGCAGAUACAAGUAAGUAGCUAUCUGGACUGGACCAAGAGAAAAUGCACGGUUCAUUACGUGUACACGGAGGGAUAAAAGCCCGGGAGGA